UGGGCUGGACAUAUCCGGUAAUUGAACCGGAGUUUUCCAUUUAUCCACAGAACAAGUUCUGUGCUUCCGGCUACAGUGCAGGCCUGCUCACAGUACCCUGCCAGCGUGCUUACCCCUUGACCUGGAGGGACCAGCUGAGGGUGAGAACAUGAUUCGCUCUCCAUGCCCAUCCCAUGCUUGUUUGGU
Unclassified non-coding RNA from Ictidomys tridecemlineatus (thirteen-lined ground squirrel), 186 nucleotides. The record is from Ensembl. Lineage: Eukaryota; Metazoa; Chordata; Mammalia; Rodentia; Sciuridae.